GGAAGUAAAAGUCGUAACAAGGUCUCCGUUGGUGAACCAGCGGAGGGAUCAUUGCUGGAACGCGCCCCAGGCGCACCCAGAAACCCUUUGUGAACUCAUACCUUACUGUUGCCUCGGCGCAGGCCGGCCCCCUCGGGGGCCCCCCGGAGACGGGGAGCAGGCCCGCCGGCGGCCAAGUCAACUCUUGUUUUUACACUGAAACUCUGAGGACAAAUAAUAAAUGAAUCAAAACUUUCAACAACGGAUCUCUUGGUUCUGGCAUCGAUGAAGAACGCAGCGAAAUGCGAUAAGUAAUGUGAAUUGCAGAAUUCAGUGAAUCAUCGAAUCUUUGAACGCACAUUGCGCCCUCUGGUAUUCCGGAGGGCAUGCCUGUUCGAGCGUCAUUUCAACCCUCAAGCCUGGCUUGGUGAUGGGGCACUGCUCUCUCACGGGAGCAGGCCCUGAAAUCCAGUGGCGAGCUCGCCAGGACCCCGAGCGCAGUAGUUAAACCCUCGCUCUGGAAGGCCCUGGCGGUGCCCUGCCGUUAAACCCCCAACUCUUGAAAAUUUGACCUCGGAUCAGGUAGGAAUACCCGCUGAACUUAAGCAUAUCAAUAAGCGGAGGA
Molecule: ribosomal RNA, 604 nt
Filed under: Phomopsis sp. FH-2012c
Lineage: Eukaryota; Fungi; Ascomycota; Sordariomycetes; Diaporthales; Diaporthaceae
Description: eukaryotic LSU rRNA
Rfam family: 5.8S ribosomal RNA (bases 230-383)
Source: RNAcentral